This 786-nucleotide ribosomal RNA is filed under the name uncultured bacterium. RNAcentral's name for it is "bacterial SSU rRNA". It matches the Rfam family "Bacterial small subunit ribosomal RNA", at positions 617 to 1406 of the family's 1533-position model. The record is from RNAcentral.
AAAAUUGCAGUUGAUACUGGGGGCCUUGAGUGCGGCAGAGGCAGGCGGAAUUCGUGGUGUAGCGGUGAAAUGCUUAGAUAUCACGAAGAACUCCGAUUGCGAAGGCAGCUUGCUGGACCGUAACUGACGUUGAUGCUCGAAAGUGCGGGUAUCAAACAGGAUUAGAUACCCUGGUAGUCCGCACAGUAAACGAUGAAUACUCGCUGUUGGCGAUAUACUGCCAGCGGCCAAGCGAAAGCGUUAAGUAUUCCACCUGGGGAGUACGCCGGCAACGGUGAAACUCAAAGGAAUUGACGGGGGCCCGCACAAGCGGAGGAACAUGUGGUUUAAUUCGAUGAUACGCGAGGAACCUUACCCGGGCUUGAACUGCAGCGGAAUGGUUUGGAAACAGAUCAGCGAGCAAUCGCCGCUGUGGAGGUGCUGCAUGGUUGUCGUCAGCUCGUGCCGUGAGGUGUCGGCUUAAGUGCCAUAACGAGCGCAACCCUUACCGAUAGUUGCCAUCAGGUGACGCUGGGGACUCUAUCGGGACUGCCGUCGUAAGAUGUGAGGAAGGUGGGGAUGACGUCAAAUCAGCACGGCCCUUACGUCCGGGGCUACACACGUGUUACAAUGGGGGGUNNNGCAGGCCGCUACCGGGCGACCGGAUGCCAAUCCCUAAAACCCCUCUCAGUUCGGACUGGAGUCUGCAACCCGACUCCACGAAGCUGGAUUCGCUAGUAAUCGCGCAUCAGCCACGGCGCGGUGAAUACGUUCCCGGGCCUUGUACACACCGCCCGUCAAGCCAUG